UUGCUCUUCAACGAGGAAUGCCUAGUAAGCGUGAGUCAUCAGCUCACGUUGAUUACGUCCCUGCCCUUUGUACACACCGCCCGUCGCUACUACCGAUUGAAUGGCUUAGUGAGAUCUCCGGAUUGGCUUUGGGAAGCUGGCAACGGCUACCUAUUGCUGAAAAGCUGGUCAAACUUGGUCAUUUAGAGGAAGUAAAAGUCGUAACAAGGUUUCCGUAGGUGAACCUGCGGAAGGAUCAUUAAAUUGAAACAAACAAAAAAACACCACGUGGGCUUGCCCAUGUGCUGCAAGUUGUAAGUCUGCAUAGUUUUGAAAAAAACUGAUGAGCAGCGGCUUGCGUGUUUUGUUUUAACCCUUGUUUUUUGCGUACCUAUUGUUUCCUCGGCGAGUUUGCUCGCCGGCUGGACAAAACUUAUAACCUUUUUUAAUCUUCAAUCAGCGUCUGAAUUAUACAUAAUAAUUACAACUUCCAACAACGGAUCUCUUGGUUCUGGCAUCGAUGAAGAACGCAGCGAAAUGCGAUAAGUAGUGUGAAUUGCAGAAUUCAGUGAAUCAUCGAAUCUUUGAACGCACAUUGCGCCCCUUGGUAUUCCAUGGGGCAUGCCUGUUCGAGCGUCAUUUGUACCCUCAAGCUUUGCUUGGUGUUGGGCGUCUUGUCUUUUCUUUUGUGAUUAGACUCGCCUUAAAGUCAUUGGCAGCCAGUGUUUUUGGUAGUAAGCGCAGCACAUUUUGCGUCUUGGCCCUAAAACACUUGCGUCCAUUAAGCUACUUUCUCACUUUUGACCUCGGAUCAGGUAGGGAUACCCGCUGAACUUAAGCAUAUCAAUAAGCGGAGGA
RNAcentral lists this ribosomal RNA (837 nucleotides) under uncultured fungus. RNAcentral's name for it is "eukaryotic LSU rRNA". The stretch from base 1 to 241 matches the Rfam family "Eukaryotic small subunit ribosomal RNA", at positions 1593 to 1831 of the family's 1831-position model. Lineage: Eukaryota; Fungi. The record is from RNAcentral.